This is a long non-coding RNA of Formica exsecta, 642 nucleotides long. RefSeq lists it as uncharacterized. Lineage: Eukaryota; Metazoa; Arthropoda; Insecta; Hymenoptera; Formicidae. The record is from RefSeq and is a predicted model, not a curated record. The transcript is spliced from 3 exons.
GUUUACGUGUGUUACGGCCUUAUCAUUCGUACGGCGACUCUUGAACACGAAUGUAGUAGUGUGCGGGACGCUCCGUCAAAUUCCUUUUAUAAACGCGAUCGUGAUAAAUAUCGCGAAAUGUGAGCAAUGAGCAGUGACCAGUGACCAGUGAGCAAUGAGCAGUAAGCAGUAAGCAAUGAGUACCUGUCACCUGUUGGCCGCUCUAGCAAGGAGGAGACGAAGAAAAACAGAGAAAAUUCUAAUGCGAUACGCAAGUCGGAAGAUAGAGAUGAACGAUAAAUCGAGCAUCGGUGCAUCACUCGAAGACUGAUUUCAGGCGAAGAAGCAAUGAGAGAGGAAGAUUCGUCGAAAAGGGAGAUUUGCAAGGAGGGAGGAUACUCGAGAACAUGUGGGAUAAGUAAAUCAUGGGAUAAAACACCAGCGGCAGAGAAACGCGCGUGCCAGGAGGAUUCGCUUGUUGGCGGAGGGGCCCUCCGCGGAGGACCUGCCGGCUCCUGGAAUCACGCAAGCAUGAAUCCGCCAAAGGAGUACCUCCUGCACCUGCAGCCCCCAAGACGGGGCGCGUCUACGCCAACAGUGCGUGAAUCCUCGGCAUAUGACGCCGGGCAACCCUUCGUCUCAUUCUUUUGCAAUUUUUAAAUA